Molecule: ribosomal RNA, 887 nt
Filed under: cf. Epitrimerus sp. GD135
Lineage: Eukaryota; Metazoa; Arthropoda; Arachnida; Trombidiformes; Eriophyidae
Description: partial large subunit ribosomal RNA
Source: RNAcentral
AAAUAGAACUUUGCAGAGAGAGUUAAGAGGGCGUGAAACCGUUAAUUGGGAAACGAAUCGGAGCCACGAAGUCGUUUCGUUGAUAGUUGAGCCGAGUUCAGUUUAGAGUUGGUGUAACAACCAGCUUUGGGCGUAUUCUCGAGUUUGACCAUCUUUGUAAGCGUACACUGCAACUAGUUAGACAAUUGCCAAUGGACCAGCGGGAUGGCCCGAAGAGUAGUAGUUUUGCUUUGAUUAUUUGAAGUUGAAGCUGCUGCUUCGGGCYAAGAGAACUAUUGGGCAAACACUGACUAGCAAAAUGAAAAUUGUUUGUGUUUAAGCGACAUUUUUGAAACAAGGCUGCUGCUUGCACAGAGCGCUACGAGUCUAGCGUGUAGGUUUGAAGCUUGGUAUUUUUGAAUUUGGACUUGCUUGUCAACUUGGGGGGCAACUCUCUUGAUGCUGGUACAGUUUCCAUCUAAUCGGAUAUCGACUUGACUUGCGUGAUUAGUGCUCGGAACGAUAGGUGCACUGUGUAAAGCUAGUAAGCAAGUUGAUUGGCAGUGAGUAGGUCGGCUUUCCGAACGACCCGUCUUGAAACACGGACCAAGGAGUCUAAUUAAGUAUCGAGUUGAUCAGAAUUGAAUAAACUAUUUUGUACAGUGCAAGACGUACGAAAGCGUAGAGAAAUCAUGUGACUUGUUUGGAAAUACAGAUUUGUAUACAAGCAAAUGCAACAUGUGCCUGCUGCUUGAGCGGAGCAAGGAGAUACUUGAUUGGUACCCGAAAGAUGGUGAUGCUUGGGCAAAUUGAAGCCAGAGGAAACUCUGGUGGAGGAUUGUAGCGAUUCUGACGUGCAAAUCGAUCGUCAGACCUGAGUAUAGGGGCGAAAGACUAAUCGAACCAUC